UACGUAGGUGGCAAGCGUUAUCCGGAUUUAUUGGGCGUAAAGGGAACGCAGGCGGUCUUUUAAGUCUGAUGUGAAAGCCUUCGGCUUAACCGGAGUAGUGCAUUGGAAACUGGGAGACUUGAGUGCAGAAGAGGAGAGUGGAACUCCAUGUGUAGCGGUGAAAUGCGUAGAUAUUAGGAGGAACACCAGUGGCGAAGGCGGUCUGCUGGACAGCAACUGACGCUGAGGCGCGAAAGCGUGGAGAGCAAACAGG
RNAcentral lists this ribosomal RNA (253 nucleotides) under uncultured bacterium. RNAcentral's name for it is "partial 16S ribosomal RNA". It matches the Rfam family "Bacterial small subunit ribosomal RNA", at positions 524 to 776 of the family's 1533-position model. The record is from RNAcentral.